AUGCCCAAGCGCACCAUGGGAGGGAGGGCCGACGCCGGGGCGGACGCCAUGGCACAUGAAGCAUCCAAGCGCCGUGCGAAGCUGCACAUGGAGAAACCCCUCCCUGCCGGCGAGGGGUCCAGCUGGCAGCAGGGCGGCCGUGACAUCGUCGACCAUGUCCAGGCUCCGGUACAGGUGUCACCUAUGCCGGAGCAGGUGGCUCCUCCGCCGGAGCAGGUAGCUGCUCUGGCUCCUCAGACGGAGCAGGUGUCUCCUCUGCCGCGGGUGACGCCUCCGGUGUCUGAGCCUGUGGUCGCCGGCGACGUCAACAAAGACGACGUGGCUCCUCUGGCUCCUCUGCCGGAGUAG
RNAcentral lists this ribosomal RNA (348 nucleotides) under Triticum aestivum (bread wheat). Its description in RNAcentral is "partial small subunit ribosomal RNA". Lineage: Eukaryota; Viridiplantae; Streptophyta; Magnoliopsida; Poales; Poaceae. The record is from RNAcentral.